Molecule: ribosomal RNA, 253 nt
Filed under: uncultured bacterium
Lineage: Bacteria
Description: partial 16S ribosomal RNA
Rfam family: Bacterial small subunit ribosomal RNA
Source: RNAcentral
UACAGAGGUCCCGAGCGUUGUUCGGAUUCACUGGGCGUAAAGGGUGCGUAGGUGGCAUGGUAAGUUUGAUGUGAAAGCUCAGGGCUUAACCCUGAAAUGGCAUUGAAUACUGCUGUGCUGGAGGUUUGGAGGGGGGACUGGAAUUCUUGGUGUAGCAGUGAAAUGCGUAGAUAUCUGGAGGAACACCGGUGGCGAAGGCGGCAUCCUGGACCGGCACUGACGCUGAGGAGCGAAAGCCAGGGGAGCAAACGGG